Molecule: unclassified non-coding RNA, 378 nt
Filed under: uncultured Thermoactinomycetaceae bacterium
Lineage: Bacteria; Bacillati; Bacillota; Bacilli; Caryophanales; Thermoactinomycetaceae
Description: contains 16S-23S intergenic spacer region
Source: RNAcentral
UCCGGCUUUCACCGGCUGUCUCUCUAGAGUGCCCAACACCACUUGCUGGCAACUAAAGAUAAGGGUUGCGCUCGUUGCGGGACUGAACCCAACAUCUCACGACACGAGCUGACGACAACCAUGCACCACCUGUCACCGCUGCUCCGAAGAGAAGGCCUAUCUCUAGACCGAUCAGCGGGAUGUCAAGCCCUGGUAAGGUUCUUCGCGUUGCUUCGAAUUAAACCACAUGCUCCACCGCUUGUGCGGGCCCCCGUCAAUUCCUUUGAGUUUCAGCCUUGCGGCCGUACUCCCCAGGCGGAGUGCUUAUUGGGUUGCCUUCGGCACUGAGGGGUGGAAACCCCCCAACACCUAGCACUCAUCGUUUACGGCGUGGACUAC